AAGUGCGAAACUAGCCACGAGAUGAGACUUCCUCACAAGGGUCGUCGGAGAUUACGACGUCGAUAGGCCACAGGUGUAAAGGUUGAGAGACCAAAGCCGAGUGGUACUAAUAGCCCGAAGCUUUCCA
This 127-nucleotide ribosomal RNA is filed under the name Sphingobacterium mizutaii. Its description in RNAcentral is "23S rRNA. Bacterial LSU". It matches the Rfam family "Bacterial large subunit ribosomal RNA", at positions 2783 to 2925 of the family's 2925-position model. The record is from RNAcentral. Lineage: Bacteria; Pseudomonadati; Bacteroidota; Sphingobacteriia; Sphingobacteriales; Sphingobacteriaceae.